This 5303-nucleotide long non-coding RNA is filed under the name Brassica napus (rape). Its description in RNAcentral is "long non-coding RNA (BNAP_LNC005515)". Lineage: Eukaryota; Viridiplantae; Streptophyta; Magnoliopsida; Brassicales; Brassicaceae. The record is from RNAcentral.
UUCAGUUGCGCUGACUCUAUUCCUGGCCUUAGCGAUAAUCUGGUUUAUCCACGAACACGGCGGACAAAAUGUAGCGCAUGAGGCUCGCCACGAACUUCAUGUAUUCCAAAGUCCACGGUUAUACAACCUUACGCAUGAGGUCCUACCCAAACUUAGCAUCAGUGUUCAGAGUUCUGAGUCUGAGACCGAGGAUGUUCCUAAUGGUGAGCCUAGCAUUGAUUGGCGUACAGCUCGACGCUUGUGGUUCGAUGAGGGGAAGGUGGCCAAGGCCGAGGGCGAACCAAGCUUUGAUUGGCGAACCACUCGACGCUUAUGGUACGUUGAGUGAAAUGUAUGCAAGCGCCAUCAAUAUCUUAUAUGUAAAAAAUAUAGUAGACUGUAAACAUAAAACACGAUGUUUUGUAAACUGGACUGCAUGAACUUCUAGGUAAUCAAUAUCUGGACUGCAUGAACUUCUAGAUAUGGUAUACAAUUCAGUUUGAAUUAAAUUUUAUUUCAAAAAAUGUAUCAAACUAUCCAAAAUAAACACACUCAAACCCCGUGAUGAGGACAUCAAACCAGUAGCCAAUCCAUAGCACCAUAAAACGGAUGCAAAUGGCCAGCUAAACCCAACAAGGACAUGUGUCUUUCAUAGACUAUGCCGCAACCUACCAGAAGGAGAUGACCAACAGACCUACAUGUCCAGACACUCAAAUCAUCAGUCUUACGUCGAAUUGGAAUUGGGUCCAUAUCAUCUCAGACCAAACCGGAAUCAAGUUUACAACCCAGCUGAUUCCUGGCUACCUUGCAAGUGAAGGCCAUUCAGACCCAGUGCCAUUGUUCAAUUCACGUUGGCUCAGCCACGGAGAGUUAGGGCAUGAAACAGCUUGGGAAAGAUUCUCUGCUCAUUUAGAGCACGCCUCGAAGUGGAAUCAGCAAAAUAUCAUUUCACAUGGAGGAGAUAUUCAGCUCUUAAGUUGGGUAAUUACCAACAUACCCCAUUUGAAUCUACACUAACUAAAUGGAGGUUUGCAGCCAAACCAGAAGGAAUUAGGCAAUGAACCGACUUGGUUUGUAAUCUUGACCCAUCAGAGAAACCAAGAAAAAUGGAUUCAUCAAGGCCAGUUCAGAUGUGAAAGUUAUUCAGUUUCCAAAUCGGAUAGUUCUCGACAUGUCUCAUCUCGAACCUUACUAUAACUAGGGUACCAUAAGGACAUCUCAAAAUUUAUUCUCAGCCAUUGUAUCAGGAUGAUUCAAUCUGGGCCACUCUUACACCAAGACCUUCCAUAUUUGGACCUAAGUGGAUUCACACGGGACCAAUUGUUUAGAUACUUUUAAUGAAAAAAAAAUCCGAGAUACUUUCAUUUAUUCUACAUACUCUACUGAACUAAGAGAAUUCCAAAUUUACCUUUUUACUUUCUCUCUAAUUUCUAAAUACUCUGUUCGCGGAUACUCCUUCUGCGGACAAGAUCGCCAUGUUCGAGAUGUCGAAAAAGUUAUAUUUCCCAAAUAUAAGAAUAAAUGAUGAAACCAGUGAUCUAGACAAUUAUGUGGCCCAGUACAACCAGUGUAUGCUUACUACAACUAUCCAGAAACAAUUCUUGGAAGCUAUCAUUGCAAUGGUAUCAGCUCAACUCUGAUCCGGUCCGUCCUGCAAUGGUACAUCAACUUGCCCAAUGGAUCGAUACAUUCCUUCGCAGCUCUAACCGACCAGUUUGUAAGAAAAUUUGCAUGCACAAGAAACCAAGCUGAAUCCCUGCGUAACUAUACAAUAUGUUUUAACCAGGAAAAGGUAUUCUACCUUCAAGAGAGACAUGUUGCUUGAUGCUGAUAUGUACAAGGAGUUAAUCAAGUAUCAGUGCAGAACCAUGGCAGACGUCACAUCCCGAGCAUGGGCAGAAGUAAAAUGGGAGGAAGAUUCAGCAUACCAGUUCAAGCAUUUCCAAAAGCAUGAAUCCUAAGUUCCUGAGAAAUACGAAAAACGAAAAAGACAAUAAACCCUAUCAUAAGCCAGAGAAAUAAGUAGAUAGUACAUCGUGGGAGAUACCACAAUCGACCUAUAGACAAAACUGAAGGAAUGGUAAUACAUACAUGUCAGACAUCUCUAAUCUAUCAAUCUCAAAUCGAAAUUAAUCAACAUUCUGAGUUUGAUAAGUCCCUCAAAUUAAGUUACCCAAGAAGAUGAAAAUACCAAAAACAUUAUGAGAUAUACAUUGAUGGUGUGUAUUUUAUAUAGACUAAGAGAUAGAAUUUAACACAAGACCGUAAUGGAAAUAACAAAAUAGGAGUCGAACUUAGAUUUAGUUAACGAAGGAGAGACGCCUCCAUGGAUCUUCAUUGCUUCAGCAUCUUCGAUCAACCUUCUCCUCUCUGAAGCUGCUACUAUCCUCCUCCAUGACUUCGAAGGCCAUAGCUCCUCCACCGUCGCGGUCCAGAUCUCCUCCCAACCCUCCGCCGCUAAAACUUCCUCUGCUUGGUUCUCUCUCUCCGCUUGAACCGCUGGAGCCUCCCGACCCCCACAGGCCCUCCAGACGCAUCUUUCAUUCCUACUCUCUCCCCUUUAUCUUGCUGUUUCUGUGUCUCUUUGUUGCAUCUGGUUUGUCCACGAGUCUCUUAUUUUUCUGAGUUUCUUAACCUCGUUCGCCGUCGAUAGCUACAAGAGAUGGUGUCGGUGCAGUCUCUUAAUACUUUUGGCUCUUGUGUAGCCCUUGUCCAUCUCUUAUGACUUCACUAGUUCAAUGAAUAUCUCAGGCUGAUCAAAUCAAAAGCAGAUGAUCUUGCUCUCCUUGGCAAACCAAUGAGGAUCUCACCGAAAGAAUACUUGCAGGACUUGGUGAUGAGUACAAGCCUGAAGUUGAUGCUAUCCAUGGCCGUGAUGUGGCCAUCUCGUCAGAACUCCAUGAACGCCUACUAAACCGGGAAGCUAUUAUCAUAUCCACUGAGACAGCUCCAGUCACUCCGAUUGUUGCUCAUGCUGCAGAUACUCGUCAAAACCACAACAGCAAACAGAACUGGCGCAACAAAAACAAUCAACAAUGGCGUAACAACAACAAUCAGACUCACCACUAUCAGAACAACAACCAGCAGCGCUCCUCCAAGUAGAGUUCUCUUCUUUUAUCUUUCUUUCUGGAACUGUUUCGCAUGUUUUUAGUUUUAACGGAAAUGAUUUAAACUUGUUGUAGAGGAGUUGGCAUCUUCUUUGUACCCUGAUUUUUCACGAUCGUCUUCUUGCUGCUUCAGGUAAUAUUAUUAUCUGACGAUGGUCGUAAUCAGAAAGUGAUUCAUUUCCUUUUUUUGUGGCAGUGAUGAUUUAGGGGUUUCUGAAGAGAAGCUUGCUGCUUAUAUCAGAUAGAGAGAGAAAACUUACCAAGAGAUUCUCCAAAGCCAUGAUCUGUUACGGGAGAGACUUGGCAAGAACAAUCGGAAACUGAAACUCGCAAGACGCCAAAUCUUGAGGUUUUUUAUUUGUUUUCAAAUCGAGAUCAGGAUUGAUUCUUGUGUUGUGCUACUUAUAUUCGAUCCAUAAAGAGAUAUUAUUCAACUAUUAGAUUCUAACCCCUUUUAGUAUUUUUUGACAAAAAAAAUCAGCUAUACUCCUGGAUCAUUUGCGGAUGUCAAUUUGAGCGAUUACCAUAUUCCAAAGACGACGUCGAUCCUCAUAGUUGGUCCGAAAGGAGCUGGGAAGAGUAGUCUUGUUAAUAGAAUUACAAGAGUGGUCCAAGACGAGGAGUUUGCCCCAGCUAGAGCUCAAGAAUCAUGUACACAUAUAAUUGGAUAAUUCAUUUUCUUGUCUUUUAAAGAUGAAGACGACGAGAUCAGUGUUUUGUUGCUCUCAAUUUUUGCAGAUGGUAUGCCGUCUAAUGGAGGCACGUUCUUUCUUCAGGAAUAUAUGAUCCCAAGAGGAGGUUCUGCUUCAUUUUGCCUCUGUGACACGCGUGGCUUGAGCCAAAUCUCGUCAUCCGAUAACACUACUAUGAUUGAGCAGUGGAUUAAAAAAGGUGUUCAUCACGGCGAGCCUGUGAUCUGGUCUUUUCUUCUUCUCUCUUGUUUUAUACUCUUCUUGGCUUUAAUUAGUUUUUUUUUUUGUGUUAACAUGACGAGUUUGUAAUUUUGGUCAGGACAUCCGAUGACUCGGAUUUGAAGGAUAGAUUGAUCCGAGAUGGUUGUACAGGUUGUGAGAUAAGGAAAGUGAACUCCAUUAUAUUUGUUGUUAAUGCGGUUGAAAUGAUGGAGAGUGAAUCGAGCUAUGCCCAUAUGGUCUCGACUGCUUUUAACUCUCCUUUACUAUCGUUUAAAGGUUGGUGAGUCCUCACAGAAUGGUGUUUUUCUUUUGUUCUUUUUAAAAAUUUCAAAGAAGUCAUAAUAUGAUUUCCAGAUGACAAGCCAGCAGUAGUUAUCACUCAUGGAGAUAUACUUUCAAGGGAGGAACGGGCCCGAGUUCAGGUUCUCGUUGGAGAACUUCUUGGUAUCCCACCUGACAAACAGAUUUUCGACAUUCCAGGUCACAAGUCUAUAUUUUUUCUUUUGUGACAGGCUAUAUAUCUUAUUGGUUACUAAUACGAAGUACAGAUAGCCGGGACGCAGCCACAGCACUAACAGUCUGCAACUUGCUACGGCAUUGCCUUGAACACGCUGAUAAAAAUCUUCGGUUUUGUCCCAAGAGGAACUUCACCAUAUCGAAGGUUUCUACUUCAUCUUUAGAUCUUACAUCUUUUGAUACCAAAACAUACCAUGAUUGGUUCAUCAGUCUAGGGACUGAUGACUGAUUUGGUGUUGAUGCGGUUCAAUAAUUUUACGUACCAAGAAAAGCAAAAAAAAAAAGAUAAAUCUUUGGGAAAAUAAUUAGCUUCUUUUAAUUCAGAUGGAAUAAAAUGAAUUCAUACUAACCAUAUGACUAUAUGAGGGAAUGGUUUGGUUUUUUUUUUUUUUUUUUUUUUUUGUAGUGGAUCAGUUUAAUUGAUUUGGAUUGAACAGAUGCAAGACCAUCUAAUUGUUAUUAUUUUUUUAGGUGGAAGGAGGCGACAAAAACAGGACAAGGAUGACUAUGUUUUCAGUUGCGCUGACUCUAUUCCUGGCCUUAGCGAUAAUCUGGUUUAUCCACGAACACGGCGGACAAAAUGUAGCGCAUGAGGCUCGCCACGAACUUCAUGUAUUCCAAAGUCCACGGUUAUACAACCUUACGCAUGAGGUCCUACCCAAACUUAGCAUCAGUGUUCAGAGUUCUGAGUCUGAGACCGAGGAUGUUCCUAAUGGUGAGCCUAGCAUUGAUUGGCGUACAGCUCGACGCUUGUGGUUCGAUGAGGGGAAGGUGGCCAAGGCCGAGG